Molecule: ribosomal RNA, 253 nt
Filed under: uncultured bacterium
Lineage: Bacteria
Description: partial 16S ribosomal RNA
Rfam family: Bacterial small subunit ribosomal RNA
Source: RNAcentral
UACGUAGGGUGCAAGCGUUGUCCGGAAUUAUUGGGCGUAAAGAGCGUGUAGGCGGUUCGAUCAGUCCGCUGUGAAAGUCCAGGGCUCAACCCUGGGAAGCCGGUGGAUACUGUCGGACUAGAGUCCGGAAGAGGCGAGUGGAAUUCCUGGUGUAGCGGUGAAAUGCGCAGAUAUCAGGAGGAACACCAAUGGCGAAGGCAGCUCGCUGGGACGGUACUGACGCUGAGACGCGAAAGCGUGGGGAGCAAACAGG